Molecule: ribosomal RNA, 492 nt
Filed under: uncultured bacterium
Lineage: Bacteria
Description: partial 16S ribosomal RNA
Rfam family: Bacterial small subunit ribosomal RNA
Source: RNAcentral
AGUGAACGCUGGCGGUAGGCCUAACACAUGCAAGUCGAACGGCAGCACAGUAAGAGCUUGCUCUUGCGGGUGGCGAGUGGCGGACAGGUGAGGAAUACAUCGGAAUCUACUUUUUCGUGGGGGAUAACGUAGGGAAACUUACGCUAAUACCGCAUACGACCUACGGGUGAAAGCAGGGGAUCUUCGGACCUUGCGCGAUUGAAUGAGCCGAUGUCGGAUUAGCUAGUUGGCGGGGUAAAGGCCCACCAAGGCGACGAUCCGUAGCUGGUCUGAGAGGAUGAUCAGCCACACUGGAACUGAGACACGGUCCAGACUCCUACGGGAGGCAGCAGUGGGGAAUAUUGGACAAUGGGCGCAAGCCUGAUCCAGCCAUACCGCGUGGGUGAAGAAGGCCUUCGGGUUGUAAAGCCCUUUUGUUGGGAAAGAAAAGCAGCAGGUUAAUACCCCGCUGUUCUGACGGUACCCAAAGAAUAAGCACCGGCUAACUUCGUG